Molecule: small nuclear RNA, 69 nt
Organism: Ochotona princeps (American pika)
Lineage: Eukaryota; Metazoa; Chordata; Mammalia; Lagomorpha; Ochotonidae
Source: Ensembl
UUGCUUUGGCAGCACCUAGACUAAAAUUGGAAUGGUGCAGAGAAGAUUUGUAUGAACUCUGUGCAAGGA